This is a non-coding RNA of Lolium perenne, 814 nucleotides long. The record is from RefSeq and is a predicted model, not a curated record. NCBI's taxonomy places the organism in Eukaryota, Viridiplantae, Streptophyta, Magnoliopsida, Poales, Poaceae.
AUUACUGCCAGUAGUGAAUUUUGCAGUUGGCGUUCAGGACAUAGCUCUUCAAUCAAGGGAAGCAAAUAACCUUCUUGGUAUGUUGAAGGAGCCAUCGAGUCCUGCAAUGAGUUGUUCAAAUUUCAGAAGGUGUUCUUCCGCGGCAGAAUCCACGCCUGGCACCAGUUCGCAGAAUAUUGGCGUGACCAUAGGAGGAUGUCCUUGGUCCCUUGAGGGCUUUGUGGAGCGACGGUGAUGCGGUAUGUGGCACCAGAGAGAGCAGGGAGGUGUGCAUUUUCAUCCAAAGGGAAGUGUGGAAAUUUAUCGGCUAUCGAGCAUGCCAAGGCGCGCGAGGUUAUUAGGGAUCCGGCCUCUGAGUGGAAAGGAAGGCGUGGCACUAUCGCAAUUAGGGUGCCAACCGGCACCUGCAUCCAUCCACAAAAUCCAAAAUCACAGCAAAGGGUGUUAUGGAAUCACAUUGGAAUUAAAGCAGGCUUAAUGAAAACUUCAGUCCAGCAUCCCGCGCCAGUUGCCACCUUAACCGCAAUGCUUGUGGCCUGAUUGAUCAGCAUGGCUUCAUUAUUAUUUUUUUGCCUGUGUAGAAAUUAGUAGAAUCAUGUUUCUUCAUAGAGAGUAUUCAGAACAUGUAGAAGCUCGAUGGGCGAUGAUCCCAUUCCUCAUAGAAUCGGAGGUUGUAUUUCUGUACAGUGUUGUGACUAUGAUUUUGUUCCUUAACGAACGAAAUCAUAAUUUAUUGUAUAGCCUGUGUAAAUUGGUAGAAUUAUGUUUCUUCAUAAAGUAAAUUCGUUCCUCUGCGAAUCCGAGGUUGUACUUU